UUUUCUUUCCACAUGGAUGGCUUAUAAGGCGAGUUGGCUCCGUUAAACGUCUGAUCACAUUUAUAUCCGUUGCAGGUAUUAAUCUGCAUAAAUGGAGUAUUUGCUUCAGUUUAUUAUUUAGAUAUCAUCAAUCUGGUUUUGCAGGCCUGCUGAAGUUGCUAACAUCGUCAAGAGUUUGUACUGAAAAACGAGGAACUAACCACUGGAUCCGGCACAUCAUCUUGCUUGCACAUCACCCAAGGUACACCAGUCUGAAGCUGAACUGCCAUGCCUGCAGCCCAACGAACAUACGAAGGUCCUUUCUUGCCAUAAGCUGAUUCUAUAGUCUGGUACUCGUUCUCGACCUGUAUAAUUAAUUCGAGAUCAUUUCCAUACUGAAACUGGCAAAUCAAGUUGCAAACUCUCUUCCUGUUAUAGUGUUAUUCCAUCCAUAAUCCCCAAACCUGUGAGAGUAUGAUUGGACCUCCCUGCGACGCAUACAGAUUCUCUGCUUUCAUCAUGUUCACUAUCUUCCCUACGUAUCUUUGCAUGUGAUCCUACAUAUGAAACAAACACAUAUCAUUAAGCAUAUACUGUCUUGUGAAUGUCUACUACUUCCAUUACGGUUCAGAGUUUUUCGUCUCGAGUUUUUAAUGUACCUUGAAUGGUUUGUUGUCUGAUCUGAACUCAAUCCCUGGAAUGUCAUGUAACCAGAAGGGAAAUCCCCUGCAUUCAAAGAACGGCAAGGUUCGAUUACAAAAGGUACGAUACGGUUUUAAGUGAUAAUUUUGUUUGUAGUGAUUCGGUUACCCGUAAGUCCAUUCGGACUCGAUGAAGGGUCCGAUUCGGAGAGUGACGUAGAGUCCCUGAGCAUGGAUUUCCUUGAUGAAUCUUACAAUGUCUGCUCUGCCAGUGAAAUCAAACUGGAUUUUUUUUUUGCAGAAACCAGUUGGCAGGGUCAAACGAAACAGCUUUUCAUCUUUUUCCUUCUUGAAAGAGACAGAAAAGGUAAAAUUACUGACCUGUCCUUGGUUGGGUUCAUGCAAGUUCCAGAAUACGUACGUCUGUAUAACGUCUAGCCCUCCUUCUUUGGCCUUUGAUAUUAACGAUGGCCACAUCUGUCACAAAAAAUCAAAUGCCAACCACAGAGAUUGGUUCUCAUUUUUGGCCUUACUCUUCUUUCCCCAGUCCAAAAUAGUUACAGAUGACUGCACUUUUGUUUUCUUUCGGUAUAUAACUAUUUUGGUUUUUUUUUUGGAAUCGGAGGGAUUUGGAAAAUGACUUUGUGGUCGUAGGUGGUCGAGAUAUCAUAUUUGAAUGUGGAAAUAAAGUGGGAUGCGAAUCAUUUUAUGAUUUUUUCACUAAAGUGAUUUGGGAGGUGAUUUUUAAUUUAUUUUAUGAACAAGAGAUUUGCAAAAUCUCGAGUGUUGUGAGUAGAAAAUGACCGAAUUGUUUUAUUGAGUUUAGGUGAAUGUGACAAGUUAGAGGUGUAUUAGUCAUUUCUAAGAUUAUAUCUUUUCUUUUAAUUUUCAAAAUUAUACUAAAUAAAUGAAUAUUUACGAAAUCACUUACAUAUUUGAAAUCCUUCUUAUNNNNNNNNNNNNNNNNCUUCUUAUUUUAAAUCUCUUACUAUUUGAAAUCAUUUUCAACCAAACCAAAAAAUCAAACUAGGCAUAAAAUAUAUGGCUUAGUUUGGAUUGGGAGAUUUCAGAUAUUGAGCUCCAAAUUUUUAUUAUAUAAAAUUGGACCUUAAUUCCCAUUUCCACGGGGAUUGUGGCCUAUCUCAUAUGAACAAUCCUUAAUCCGAAACUAGCCUCCUGUGAAUUGUGAUUUGAUUGACCUGUAAUCUGAUCAAAUCAAAUGAAUGUGUGACUUUAUUACCUCGUAAUAUAUAAUUUAAUUAAUUUUCCUGUUCGAUAUCAUUAAAAAUGUACUGAGAAUGUCAUUGAAACGUUGGUUAGCCUAGUGAUUAAGAGGGUUCUAAUUAAGAUUAAGAGGGUUCUAAUUAAGAUUAAGAGGGUUUUAAUUAGGAUUAGGCUAUAAAUCAACUGUUUUCUUGUAGCUAGUUGUGCUACAAUGAUAAUUGUUCAUUGAAGAUCGAGCUGGUUUUCUGUUGUUAUCGAAGACGUUGGUUUUAUAUAUCCAAUAAAAAAUUUAAUUAAACGUGAAGGAAAUCGGAGAACGUAACCGUGAGAGCCGUGGCUUUUAGUUCACGUACGCAAAAUAAAGACAUUUUCCAGAGAAUGGCCCAAACUUUUCUGUUUUGUUUCACCAUGUGAGGUUCAUCGCCCAAUAAUAGUAAUAAUAAAUUUAUUUGUAAAAAAUUGAGAGGAUUGGAAUUUUAGAUGUUAUUUUCACACAAAAAAAUUGUGGAUAUGUAAUUGUAAGUUGCAACCCGAAUUUACAAUUUUACAUGAAAAUAUUAGGGGGAGUAGUUAGAAUUGAAAAAACCCUAAUUAUUAAGUCUUAAGUUAAGGUAUAUUAUGGUGACAAUUCAAAAAUAUCGGAUUUGAGUCUAGCAUACUCCAUAAACAAAACAGAAAUUUGGGUACGUUGUUCUAUCUAUCAUGAAAAAAGUGAAUGAAUACUAUCGCUUGGAUUCGAACUGAAAUAAAUCACAUAAUCUUUAAAUUUAAACAUGCAUGCUUCAUUAUUUUUACAUAACUUGAGCUAUGUUGAGACGAAUUUUGGGUUAUGGAACAUGGAACAAUAAGAAGGUUGAAACGUACAGUGUACUGUAAUUGGAAGAUUGAACUAUAAUUUACUGUAGUUUACUGUUUAAGUGAUUGAACCAGAUGUUAGAUUUAACCAUACAGUUGAACCGAAGCAACCUACCAGACUACAUUUCUUCUGACUGAUUUUAUUUUGCGACUGAUAAACCAGAGAGCAACCACAAAAGACGACAGCCGGAGAAGAGUGUGACAAUACAAAAGAACGUACCUCGGGAGUGCUGCGUGGAUAAUGGAUGGAACCGGAGAAGAGAAUCCGGUGGUGGCCGUUGAUGAUCAGAGACCUCCCGUCGUAGCUCACUCCUUGAUCACUACCAUUCAUCCUACCAACAGUUGAAAGAUGAUGAUCGUCGGUUCCCACUGCCUCAGUGCCGUUCAUCGCCGUUGUCAACAUUAUUAUUACCACUGCCACCGUAGCCGCUGCGGCCAUCAUAAUCGAAAACUGAUUCAGAGGAGAAAGAAACACAGAG
This 3178-nucleotide long non-coding RNA is filed under the name Linum usitatissimum (flax). RNAcentral's name for it is "long non-coding RNA (LUSI_LNC002602)". Lineage: Eukaryota; Viridiplantae; Streptophyta; Magnoliopsida; Malpighiales; Linaceae. The record is from RNAcentral.